ACCCUGGGAAUCAAGCCUUCCAUUAUGUCUGCCAGAGACUUGGAGUCCGUCACAUCAUCACUGAGCCCAAAGCGAGGAUGCCAUGAGGAAAGCUGGCAUGGCGCACAGUAAAUCCAGCAAUGAUACGGAGAGCCAUGUGUUCCUGAAGGCCAAGCCCCGGAGAGAAACACAGGCAGCACUGCCCUCGGGGGAGUGCUGGCCCUGGCGGAAUGCAGCAGCCACAAAGGAUCCAGCCAGAGGAUGCCCCACCUGCCCAGCACUACCAGGCUGCCCAAGGGGUGCAAGCGUGGGAAGAGCCCAACACGGAGCAGCACCUCGGAUGGGGCAGAGACUUGUCACAUCACUGUCCCCAGCAAAGGCUACAUGUUGUCUCCUUCAGUUGAUGAUACACCUUUCCGAGAUGCAGAGCAUCCAGGUCAGACAAUCUCUACCAUUUUUUUAUUAUAUUAAGGCACUAACUUAGAAUGAGGUUUUUGUG
Molecule: long non-coding RNA, 478 nt
Filed under: Macaca fascicularis (crab-eating macaque)
Lineage: Eukaryota; Metazoa; Chordata; Mammalia; Primates; Cercopithecidae
Description: lncRNA (ENSMFAG00000054738.1)
Source: RNAcentral